Long non-coding RNA from Grus americana (Whooping crane), 589 nucleotides. RefSeq lists it as uncharacterized. Lineage: Eukaryota; Metazoa; Chordata; Aves; Gruiformes; Gruidae. The record is from RefSeq and is a predicted model, not a curated record. The transcript is spliced from 4 exons.
AAGAGGAGGGAGGGGGAGGGGACACCGCUCGCCCCGCCGCUCCCCCCGCCCGCCCCGGCGCCCCCAGAGGCGGGCGGUCGCCGCCUGCUCGCCCGCCGCCCCUCGCCCUGUCGAGGCGGCACCCCCCUCCCCACGACAGAGGCCUAGGCCGCCGGCAGGCGGGCGGGCCGGGGCGGUACCUGCGCUGGAAGUCCGUCUCGAAGGGGGCCAGGCAACAUCCAGGCUCUUCCUUUUCCGCUUGUCCCUUAGUUCCAAGACGGCAGGUCAUCCCCAAUGAGCAGGUCGUACUUUGGUGUUUGUAAAGGUCCUGAUGUUGGCAGUUUAAGUCUUCCUGAUGCAGACGAGAGAGGGGACUUGCUUUACGACAAGUCAUCAGCCCCUGAGGUCUUCACAAAGAGAACAAUGAUGUUCUUGUUGGGGAGUUGUAAUUCCUCAGUCUUGGUUGUCUCCUCAGUAACUCCUAUGUUGUCAUCUGUUUCACCACAUGCUCAAGAAAAACUCACAAAGGUUUCCAUCCUGGGAGCUGACUCAUUCUCUAAAUCAGGACCAUCAUCCUCUGAACACAAAAUCUUCCUGUGCAGAACUUAAG